AAGUCGUAACAAGGUUUCCGUAGGUGAACCUGCGGAAGGAUCAUUAACGAGUCUUGAAAGCGGGGGAAAGUCUGUUGCUGGCGUGCUUAAGUAAGCACGUAUGUGCACGGCCCCCUCGUUACUCAAUCCACUCAACCCCUGUGCACUUUAUGGGAGUUAGUAGUUGGCGGUUAGUAGUCGUAAGGCGAACACUUGUCGGCGAACACUUCAAUAUACACAAACCCAUUCUAUUGUUAUGUUGAAUGUACAGCUCCUUGUGGGCGAAAUCUAAUACAACUUUCAACAACGGAUCUCUUGGCUCUC
Molecule: unclassified non-coding RNA, 303 nt
Filed under: air metagenome
Description: partial contains small subunit ribosomal RNA, internal transcribed spacer 1, and 5.8S ribosomal RNA
Rfam family: Eukaryotic small subunit ribosomal RNA (bases 1-46)
Source: RNAcentral